CCCAAGUGCCACUCUUAACGGGAUGGCUUUUCAUUAGUGUAAAGAGCUUUUGGAAUAAGAGCUGGGCAAGACCGGUGCCAGCCGCCGCGGUAACACCGGCAGCUCUAGUGGUAGCAAUUUUUAUUGGGCCUAAAGCGUCGUAGCCGGUUUGAUAAGUCU
RNAcentral lists this ribosomal RNA (159 nucleotides) under uncultured archaeon. RNAcentral describes it as "partial 16S rRNA". It matches the Rfam family "Archaeal small subunit ribosomal RNA", at positions 380 to 540 of the family's 1478-position model. The record is from RNAcentral.